RNAcentral lists this small RNA (499 nucleotides) under Pan troglodytes (chimpanzee). RNAcentral describes it as "retained intron". The record is from RNAcentral. Lineage: Eukaryota; Metazoa; Chordata; Mammalia; Primates; Hominidae. RNAcentral also lists the same sequence under 1 other name.
UCAUAUCAUGUGCCCUCUAUGAGGAGUUUUGGAUUAAGGUAAGAAAAUCAUGUGCUCUUAAACUUGAAUAUAUUAUAAACAUUGAUCUAGUGACUAACCUUUUUUGUACUUCUGUUGAAUGUUGUUCAUAUAACUAUAUCUGUUGCAUUAGGAGAUGGUCUGCUUGCAACCAGAUUUGACUGCUGCAUAUGCCAACCUCGUUGCCUCUCUUCGUCCUUCCUUACAGAAACUAGUCUAGUGGUUCAAUAAAGUAUGCCAAGUACAUGGAAAACCAUAGCAUUGAAGGAGUGAGGCAUGUCUUCAGCAGAGCUUGUACUAUACAUCUCCCAAAGAAACCCAUGGUGCAUAUGCUUUGGGCAGCUUUUGAGGAACAGCAGGGUAAUAUUAAUGAAGCCAGGAAUAUCUUGAGAACAUUUGAAGAAUGUGUUCUAGGAUUGGCAAUGGUUCGUUUACGAAGAGUAAGUUUAGAACGACGGCAUGGAAAUCUGGAAGAAGCUGA